GAUGAACGCUGGCGGCGUGCCUAAUACAUGCAAGUCGAGCGAACGGACGAGAAGCUUGCUUCUCUGAUGUUAGCGGCGGACGGGUGAGUAACACGUGGAUAACCUACCUAUAAGACUUGGAUAACUUCGGGAAACCGUAUCUAAUACCGGAUAAUAUUUUGAACCGCAUUGUUCAAAAGUGAAAUACGGUCUUGCUGUCACUUAUAGAUUGAUCCGCGCUGCAUUAUCUAGUUGGUAAGGUAACGGCUUACCAAGGCAACGAUGCAUAGCCGACCUGAGAGGGUGAUCGGCCACACUGGAACUGAGAAACGGUCCAGACUCCUACGGGAGGCAGCAGUAGGGAAUCUUCCGCAAUGGGCGAAAGCCUAACGGAGCAACGCCGCGUGAGUGAUGAAGGUCUUCGGAUCGUAAAACUCUGUUAUUAGGGAAGAACAUAUGUGUAAGUAACUGUGCACAUCUUGACGGUACCUAAUCAGAAAGCCACGGCUAACUACGUG
This 497-nucleotide ribosomal RNA is filed under the name uncultured bacterium. Its description in RNAcentral is "partial 16S ribosomal RNA". It matches the Rfam family "Bacterial small subunit ribosomal RNA", at positions 28 to 507 of the family's 1533-position model. The record is from RNAcentral.